RNAcentral lists this ribosomal RNA (1591 nucleotides) under Neodrepanis coruscans (wattled asity). RNAcentral describes it as "16S ribosomal RNA". It matches the Rfam family "Bacterial large subunit ribosomal RNA". Lineage: Eukaryota; Metazoa; Chordata; Aves; Passeriformes; Philepittidae. The record is from RNAcentral.
AAGCCAACUCUAGCCCCACCCAAAACCAAACUAAUCUUCACCACCAAAAUAAAUUAAAACAUUAGAUCCAACCUAGUAUAGGCGAUAGAAAAGUUAUCCAUCGGACGCAAUAGAGUAAUGUACCGUAAGGGAAAGAUGAAAUAACAAUGAAAGUCAAGCGCCAAAAAGCAAAGACCAACCCUUGUACCUUUUGCAUCAUGAUUUAGCAAGUAUUAGGCAGACAAACAGACCUCCAGCCUGCCCCCCCGAAACCUAAGCGAGCUACUCCCAAGCAGCUAAACUAUCUUGAGCGAACCCGUCUCUGUUGCAAAAGAGUGGGAUGACUUGUUAGUAGAGGUGAAAAGCCAACCGAGCUGGGUGAUAGCUGGUUGUCCACGAAAUGAAUUUUAGUUCCCCCUUGACUCCCCUCCAAGGCCACUUAACCUGAACCCUAAUGUAGUUAGUUCAAGGGUAACUUAAAGGAGGUACAGCUCCUUUAAAACAAAGUACAUAUUACCAGAGAGGAUAAGCUCAACACAACUCUAACUGUGGGCCCUCAAGCAGCCAUCACCAAAGAGUGCGUCAAAGCUCUAUACCAAAAAAUUUUAUUACACAAGCGACUCCCUCUUCCUCAGUGGACUAAUCUAUUACCAAUAGAAGAAUUAAUGCUAAAAUGAGUAACUAGGGUAAACCCUCUAAGGCGUAAGCUUACAUCUUACAUUAUUAACAAACUUUGAUAUAUAUCCAAACCACUACAAGACCUUAUAUAUAUACUAUUGUUAACCCAACCUCAACCGGGACGCCUACUCUAGACCGAUCCAAACCUGCAAAAGGAACUAGGCAAGCCUAAGGCCCGACUGUUUACCAAAAACAUAGCCUCCAGCAAUCCAAGUAUUGGAGGUGAUGCCUGCCCAGUGACUCUAUGUUCAACGGCCGCGGUAUCCUAACCGUGCGAAGGUAGCGCAAUCAAUUGUCUCAUAAAUCGAGACUUGUAUGAAUGGCUAAACGAGGUCUUAACUGUCUCUUGCAGGCAAUCAGUGAAAUUGAUCCUCCUGUGCAAAAGCAGGAAUAACCACAUAAGACGAGAAGACCCUGUGGAACUUAAAAAUCAGCAGCCACCCUUCCUCCCUCUUCCCCUAUCUGGCCUAUUUUCAAAGAGGCGCUGGCCCGCAUUUUUUGGUUGGGGCGACCUUGGAGCAAAAUUUACCCUCCAAAAACUAGAACAACACUCUAAACCAAGGUCAACUGACCAACGUGCUAACAGCAACCAGACCCAAUAUGACAUUGACCAAUGAACCAAGCUACCCCAGGGAUAACAGCGCAAUCUCCUCCAAGAGCCCCCAUCGACGAGGAGGUUUACGACCUCGAUGUUGGAUCAGGACAUCCUAGUGGUGCAGCCGCUACUAAGGGUUCGUUUGUUCAACGAUUAACAGUCCUACGUGAUCUGAGUUCAGACCGGAGCAAUCCAGGUCGGUUUCUAUCUAUGAUAAACUUUUUCUAGUACGAAAGGACCGAAAAAGUAAGACCCAUGCUACAAGUACGUCUUCACCCCAAGUAAUGAAGCCAACUAAAUUACUUAAGGCCAUCACAUUAAUGUCCUAAAAAAGGACCG